CAGUCCUGAGGCCUGCCCCGCGGGAAGGCAGCUAAGGCCCGUUCAUGGGCUGCACAAUUUAGCCUUGGAAAUAGAGGAUGACAAGAAUACUGAUGCUUCAUAAUUGAAGGCCUGGUUGGAGUAUGCGGCCAGCCUUAUCCAGGUUACCCCACCUGAACAUCCUCCUGGGAGGAAGCAGGGCAUGAAUCCGAAGGAAUUAGUGAAGUCCUUCCAUAGCCAUCCUUGAUGGUGGAGCGGGGGUGUGUCUCAGCAAAAAGGGCUGAAGUAUAAGGUGCUGGGACCAGUUGUCAGUAAAGGCAGUAUGAUUCAAUGAAUCAAUUAAAUCAGGAUGGAGAAGGGAAGCAAAAAGUCCAAGCCAGAUAAGUGGAACUACCCAUGAAACUGGAGGGUGUGGUGAACAAAAGCAAAAUGAUUAGUCACAAGGUCAGGAGCAAGCUUUUUGACAGGAAAAAAAAAAGAAAAAUUCUGUGGAAGGCAGCUUCGAGAAGACAUAAUCCAUGUGUGAUUGUUUGAGAGCAAGAAGGGUUAAAAAAGGCAACAACAAAAAACCUGCUCAUUUUUGCUGCUUGCUUAAGAAAAAAACAACUCAAGCCAUCUCCAAAUGUAGUUUAAUCCAUUUUCAGACUUUAUACAUUAUGCAUCAAGAUUUUGUACAAAAGGAAUUUGAGAGGAGUGUUUGCAUGAAACCACUUCAGUGGAUUAAAUUUGCAGUUCAGCACAUUAGACUCAAAAAGUAUACAAGACAUUUUGAGAGUCCCUGACUCCUUCCUUUAUAUGCAUAGUUCCUACUUCAGGUAAAUAAGUUUUUAAGAAUGAGUGGAUUCCAGCAGCUGUCUUUAAGGGAAAAAUUAAGAAAGGAUUUGGUCUACCUUCCACUUAGCUUCACAAUGAUUGCAAAUGUUUGAAGAACAGAAAGCCUAGUUGAGAAGGUGGAUCUAAGCUGUUCUAUGGACCUCGAGAUUCUUUUAGGCAAAGCUGCCCUAUCCAAGGUGGAAAAGCUAAUGUGAAAAGACAUUCUCAAUAGAAGGAGUUCACACAGCGAUGUCAUAACUGCAAACCCCACCCACCUUCAGUUCAGAGUUGAGAUGCCACUUGCGUAGGCCACCCAGAUGGUAAGCUCAGACAGUCAUCCAGAUGUCUUUAUCUAGUGGAGGCCAAACAUCACUGAGACCACAUCUGGAUGUUUAGUGGGCCAACGACAUUUUUAUUUCCUGCUGUUUAAAUAAUAGAUUUGGGGGAUCUUGGAAACGUAGUCUUUAUUUCCUCUUACCCCAGAGUUGCUCUGCUGCAGGAACACACUUUAUGACAAUCGGGUCAAAUCAGAAGCAGCCAGAGAGCCACCCGUUUCUGGGCUGUUAAUGAUGGGAGGUCCUAAACUGACAGGCGGAGUCUGACGUCUAAACAUCAUGACUGUUAUAAACCAGGAGGUGUCCAAACAACCUAUGGAGCACCUGAAAGUUUCUAUAAUAACUUGUAUUUUUUUUUUUCAAGUGUUGAAAACUUCCUAGCAGUGUGGCUGGUUGCCUGGGCUACAGUGUUGUGUUGACAGCUCUGGUCCUUUUCCUGGCAGCCGAGGAUCUGCACAGUGACCAAUGAGAGGGGAGCAUUCUGCUCUGAACUUUCCAUUAGGCUGAUGAUUCACUUUGAAAUCCACACUUUAUGAAUGCUGUGAAUUCAAUGUAAUGUAGCUGUUGAGGUGUCUACAUUCAAAUUUGAUUCCAUUAACUUUACGGUGUGAUUAAGUGUCUGAAUCAUCAGGACUUGGGAUUGAAUUUAUGUGCCUUCUGCGAGCCCUUUUGUAGACUGGUAGUUUUGAUGAGUGUAAUUUGAUGUAUGGGAUUGGGAGAAGAAACCUAAAAAGAUAUCACCUCAAAUAUAACAAGGAUCUGAGAACCCAAAUUUGAGCGUUGAGGUGGGUGGUCACUCUCAGAUGUGCAGAGUGGAGCUACUCUUCAGCAUGCACACUUUUUUCUUUAAAGAACUUGAUUUUUGGUGUUAGAAGGGACUUAGAGGUCCCUUCUAAGGGACCUCUAAAUUUGGCUUUCAAAUUUUAAAGUACUUAACUAUUAAUUAGGGUGCUUCUUAAAAAAAAAACGCCGAUUUCAGAUCGUGCCUUCUGAUUCUGAAGGGCUGGAAUGGGAUGCAGGAAUGGAAUUAUAGACCUCCCUGGGAGAAAUGCUGACUUAGUUGUUUUGCAUUUGGGAGAGUGAUGGGCCUCAUCCAUGGCCUUCCUCACAGCUAGUGGUAAGAGAGUCAAGCCCAGAACUGGAUCUCUAUAUGUUUCCUCAGGGGUCAUUCAUCACGUACUUAGUUCAUGCUCAUGCGAAUUGACAUUUAUGACAUGGAAAUUAUCGGUAGUAAGAAAGUGAAAAGAACAUGGAGUGGCAGAGAGUGUGGCAUAUUGCAGUUUAGCAAAAAUGAGUUCUGAAAUCUCAUUUGAAAAUUUUAAGUUCUCCUUAACACAUAGGGGUUAAAUGGGAGAUGCACAAUGCUUCACAUAUUUGAGUCAAUUUUAGGCAGUUGCUAAGAUAGCAGUGUACAAAAUAUUUUUACUUUUGCAUUUCCCUUUAUAGAUUUCUUUGGACUUAAAUACACUGAAAUUUUAAUUUAAAUUCUCCAUGUAUUUAAAUUCUCCAUGUAUUUAAAUUCCAGAAUUGAUGAAAUUAAACACUUUUUCAUUAUUGCUGACAAUUUGUACUUAUUCUUUAAUUCUUUGUGAAUCAUUUUUCAGAUCCUUUGUGAACUUCUCUACUGAGUUGCUGGCUUUUUUUUUCUGGUAUUGUUUUUAAAUAGAUGUUUUUUAUUAAAGUUAUUAACUCCAUGUCUGUCAUACAAUUCCCUGAAAGUGUUUUUCUGUUUUUUGUUUUAUGUUUAUUUAUGGUUACUUUUCUUUUAUAUGGAGCAGUUUAAAAUUUUUCUACAGAAACAUUAAAAUCCUUUUUUCUGUUCUCUGUGAUGAUGUUUCAUCAGUUUUAUUUGUUAAAGCUCUCCCU
RNAcentral lists this long non-coding RNA (2993 nucleotides) under Homo sapiens (human). RNAcentral's name for it is "HSALNT0358090". The record is from RNAcentral. Lineage: Eukaryota; Metazoa; Chordata; Mammalia; Primates; Hominidae.